RNAcentral lists this transfer RNA (64 nucleotides) under Bathothauma lyromma. RNAcentral's name for it is "tRNA-Ser". Lineage: Eukaryota; Metazoa; Mollusca; Cephalopoda; Oegopsida; Cranchiidae. The record is from RNAcentral.
GGUUUUUACUGGGGUCAUGAAGUUUUGAAAACUUUUGAUAAGUGUUCGAUUCACUUAAAAACUU